AGUUCGAUCGUGGCUCAGAUUGGAACGCUGGCGGGAUGCUUUACACAUGCAAGUCGAACGGCAGCACGGACUUCGGUCUGGUGGCGAGUGGCGAACGGGUGAGUAAUGUAUCGGAACGUGCCUAGUAGCGGGGGAUAACUACGCGAAAGCGUAGCUAAUACCGCAUGAGUCACGCCCCUUCGGGGAAAGCGGGGACCUUCGGCCUCGCACUAUUAGAGCGGCCGAUAUCGGAUUAGCUAUUAUGGGGUAAACGGCUCACCAAGGCGACGAUCCGUAGCUGGUUUGAGAGGACGACCAGCCACACUGACUGGGAGAGCGACGUCUGACUCCUACGGAGGCAGCAGUGGGGAAUUUUUGACAAUGGGGGAAACCCCGAUCCAGCCAUCCCGGCGCGUGCGAUGAAGGCUCCUCGGUUGUGGGUGCCACCUUUGGCAGGAAGAAACGGCGACGGACACUAUUCCGCGCAACCGAUUGUACCUGCAAGAAUAAGCACUAUUAACCACGCGCCAGCAGCCGUGGUAACACGUAUAUGUUGUUGACUGGAAUCAUUAAGGAAGCGUAUAUAUGGCCCGGAAAGAAGAUGUGAACCUAGAGCUGACCUAACCUGCAUUUAACUACUGAGCGGUAGAGCGGUAAAUAGAGGAGGUGGAAUGCGUAGCAGUGAAAUGCAGAUAUGAGGAACUACUGAUGGCGAAGGUAACCUCCUUGAACAUCGACGUCAUAACAAAGCGUGGGAGCAAACAGGAUUAGAUACCCUGGUAGUCCACGCCCUAAACGAUGUCAACUAGCUGUUGGGGCCUUCGCCUUGCAGCGCAGCUAACGCGUGAAGUUGACCGCCUGGGAGCACAGGCCCAAAGAUUAAAACUAAAGGAAUUGACGGGACCCGGCUGCUUGUGGAUGAUGUAUUAAUUCGAUGCAACGCGAAAAACUUUACCUACUCCUUGACAUGUCUGGAAUCCCGAAGAGAUUUGGGAGUGCCUGCAAGAGAACCGGGAACACAGGUGCUGCAUGGCUGUCGUCAGCUCGUGGUCAGAUGUUGGGUUAAGUCCCGGCAACGAGCGCAACCCUGUCAUUAGUUGCUACGAAAGGGCACUCUAAUGAGACUGCCGGUGACAAACCGGAGGAAGGUGGGGGAUGACGUCAAGUCCUCAUGGCCCUAUGGGUAGGGCUUCACACGUCAUACAAUGGUCGGGACAGAGGGUCGCCAACCCGCGAGGGGAGCCAAUCCCAGAAACCCGAUCGUAGUCCGAUCUGCAGUUCGCAACUCGACUGCGUAGAAGUCGGAAUCGCUAGUAAUCGCGGAUCAGCAUGUCGCGGUGAAUACGUUCCUCGGUCUGUACACACCGCCCAGCCACCAUGGGAGUGGGUUUUACCAGAAGUAGUUAGCCUAACCGUAAGGAGGGCGAUUACCACGGUAGGAUUCAUGACUGGGGUGAAGUCGUAACAAGGUAA
RNAcentral lists this ribosomal RNA (1452 nucleotides) under uncultured Bordetella sp. Its description in RNAcentral is "partial 16S-23S ribosomal RNA intergenic spacer". It matches the Rfam family "Bacterial small subunit ribosomal RNA". The record is from RNAcentral. Lineage: Bacteria; Pseudomonadati; Pseudomonadota; Betaproteobacteria; Burkholderiales; Alcaligenaceae.